This 220-nucleotide long non-coding RNA is filed under the name Gossypium raimondii (Peruvian cotton). RNAcentral's name for it is "long non-coding RNA (GRAI_LNC000499)". The record is from RNAcentral. Lineage: Eukaryota; Viridiplantae; Streptophyta; Magnoliopsida; Malvales; Malvaceae.
UUUUAUCAUUAUUCAGCUAAAAAUUUGAGUUAAACACCCUCCUACUUUCACUUUAAAUACCACUAUCUUUAUUUCCUUCCCAUACAUUCUUAACACCGCCAACCCUCUUUUUCCUCUCCACCAUCACAUACCAUAGGCCUUAACCUCCCAAACCUCGAAGUCCCUUACUACUAGCAAUAACUACACCAACCAGCAGCCAUUCGCCCCAACUGCACCCACC